GACGAAGGUGGCAAGCGUUGUUCGGAAUCACUGGGCAUAAAGCGUGCGUAGGCGGCCAGAUCAGUCGGGUGUGAAAUCCCUCGGCUCAACCGAGGAACUGCGCCCGAUACUGUCUGGCUUGAGGUCCGGAGGGGAGAGUGGAAUUCCCGGUGGAGCGGUGAAAUGCGUAGAGAUCGGGGAGAACGCCGGCGGCGAAAGCGACUCUCUGGUCGGAUCCUGACGCUGAGGCACGAAAGCUAGGGGAGCAAACGGG
RNAcentral lists this ribosomal RNA (253 nucleotides) under uncultured bacterium. RNAcentral's name for it is "partial 16S ribosomal RNA". It matches the Rfam family "Bacterial small subunit ribosomal RNA", at positions 524 to 776 of the family's 1533-position model. The record is from RNAcentral.